CUCAGGACGAACGCUGGCGGCGUGCCUAAUACAUGCAAGUCGAGCGAAUCGAUGGGAGCUUGCUCCCUGAGAUUAGCGGCGGACGGGUGAGUAACACGUGGGCAACCUGCCUAUAAGACUGGGAUAACUUCGGGAAACCGGAGCUAAUACCGGAUACGUUCUUUUCUCGCAUGAGAGAAGAUGGAAAGACGGUUUCGGCUGUCACUUAUAGAUGGGCCCGCGGCGCAUUAGCUAGUUGGUGAGGUAAUGGCUCACCAAGGCGACGAUGCGUAGCCGACCUGAGAGGGUGAUCGGCCACACUGGGACUGAGACACGGCCCAGACUCCUACGGGAGGCAGCAGUAGGGAAUCUUCCGCAAUGGACGAAAGUCUGACGGAGCAACGCCGCGUGAACGAAGAAGGCCUUCGGGUCGUAAAGUUCUGUUGUUAGGGAAGAACAAGUACCAGAGUAACUGCUGGUACCUUGACGGUACCUAACCAGAAAGCCACGGCUAACUACGUGCCAG
This 505-nucleotide ribosomal RNA is filed under the name Peribacillus simplex. RNAcentral's name for it is "bacterial SSU rRNA". It matches the Rfam family "Bacterial small subunit ribosomal RNA", at positions 23 to 511 of the family's 1533-position model. Lineage: Bacteria; Bacillati; Bacillota; Bacilli; Caryophanales; Bacillaceae. The record is from RNAcentral.